Molecule: long non-coding RNA, 1371 nt
Organism: Dicentrarchus labrax (European seabass)
Lineage: Eukaryota; Metazoa; Chordata; Actinopteri; Moronidae
Exons: 4
Source: RefSeq, a predicted model, not a curated record
GACGAGCUUUAGGAAGAAGGGUUCGAUAGAAUUAGGUGCUAAACUGGUUCAGAUCAAGCGUAUGCACUGAAUAUGCUUUUCGAAAACUGAGCUGAAUAGGAUUUAGCAUGCAUUUCAUGCUAUAACACAUACAAACUGAAAGACCAGACUUUGACUCAUCAAUUUUGGUUGUGCCCUAAAUUAAAGAAGUUCCUGAAGAAAAUAUUCCAAUUGCUCAGUCUAAUAACUGGAGAAAGAAGUCACCCUUCUCUGUGCUCUUGCCUUAAUGGUUUGCUCUGAGUGGGCCCUUGAGCUACCAUAUGAGACCCAGCAGGCCCUCGUGUUUGGUAUGCUUACUGCCAGAAGAGCUAUUCUGAGCGUGGAUAUGAACCUCCCCGCCUUGCUUUAGGAAGUGGCUCAAUGAUACAGUUUCCUGUUUAUAUUUAGAGGAGAUAAGCUUCUCUUCAGCUAGCGCUCAAACUUAAGUUUGUACAGAUUUGUGGAGCAGGAUCAAGAUGACACUGGUGUAAGCCAUCUGAUGUGUUUGUGUCCCACAUGAUGGAAAUCAAACCACCUCCAUCCAGCUCCAGAGCGAGCACACACCAGCCAGUCCUUUUGUUUUGGCCUCCCUCCCCGUGUGGAGAAAGUCAAGCCCCCUCAGCAGGAGCCUGUGGUUCCACUGAAUCACAUGAAACAAAGACCUAAGGUCCCAUCCAAACCACAGACACUGCAAACGUGGUCUGCGCCUCAGCCCAUUCAAGCGCCACCUAUUUUGUGAAGACUUGUGGAUAAACGUCACCUCCUGGUCUGACCGGGCACUUAAGUGCUUGCCUUGUGCUCACCCACACAGUGAGCCCAAUGAACCCAGUUGCAGAUGAUCCAAACAACAGUAGGCUAUGUGGACGUCUUGUUGUUUAAUCUGAACGAGUCACAGUUUGACAAAAUUGAGACCGCAGCGCUCCCUGCCUGGACUUCAUAUCUCACCGAGCACAAUGAGGAUAAUACACUGCGAUCCACAUCACAGGACCAUUGACCUUUUACACAGUACACUGUAACUAACCAGUUUGGACGGUGGCCAUUUAUUAUAUGGAGCAGAGCGGCAGAAAGUGUUGUUUUGUGUCAGGAGGAGAAAGAGGAACCUGCGUGUUGUAACCCCACAGGAAAACAUCUCUGUGCCUCCGACCACUAAAGUGUUUCUGCUGCAGGAUCAAUUCAUCCUCGCUUUGUCGCUCCUGAGCAGCAGCAGCUUACAUUAUCACUGGAGUCACACUGAUACAUUGUUGCAUCUAUUGUCAAGACAAAAUGGCUCUGACAGUAGCAUUUAAGCUUAUUCUAUUCAUGGACUAAUAGUAACGUAUUCUAGUUAUUCUUUGUGGAUUUAAGAAAAUAAAA